Molecule: ribosomal RNA, 333 nt
Filed under: Triticum aestivum (bread wheat)
Lineage: Eukaryota; Viridiplantae; Streptophyta; Magnoliopsida; Poales; Poaceae
Description: partial small subunit ribosomal RNA
Source: RNAcentral
GUACAGUUCAUCUUAGAUAGGAUCCGCACACACCUAGCUAGUUGGAAGGGCAGGCUGAUGCAUAUUGCCGGCCGUAGGGUGCUUGUCUGCUGCAUCCUCUCUGCCAUGCCGACGUUCGCUCUUACGGUGCUAAGGACGCCAAAGAAGUUUUUCAAGGAGGUAGGCAAAGCUAGGCGGCGUUUCCUGUGGGCACAAGAUGAAGAUGUGACGGGAGGAAAAUGCAAGGUCGCAUGGAGCGCGGUCACCACACCGGAGUCCCACGGCGGCAUCCGCAUUCAUGAUCUGGACAAGUUCGCGUGCGCCCUUCGGCUACGCUGGCUCUGGUUGUCCUGA